UUGACUGACAAUUACUUUUGUUUGGUCUCUUUGUUUCGGCCUUGUCCUCCUGCUUUUUUUAUUAGCUUGGGCCUAAAAACGAUACGGGGUAAAAAUGUAAUUUACUAAGGAAAUCAAUGCUGAGAACGCGUUUCGUUGUUCUACAACUAAAUCGAUGAAGGUAAAAAAAAAAUGGGAAACAGCCGAGAACCCCUGAGAAACCUUCUUCGCAGUCCGAAAAUUUGUCGAAUCUUCCGCAGCAGAUCUCUUCCAAAACCAUGCGUCAAUGACAGUAUUGUGAGUGCCUUCGGAUGGUACGAAACUGUGGAUGAGAGCUCAAACUUUACUAGGGACAUGCUGUAACUUGUACGUGAAAUUUUUGCAUGAGAAAUUGAUCUGGAUUGGGCUGCAUUUUUUAAA
Cornus florida is the source of this 399-nucleotide long non-coding RNA. RefSeq lists it as uncharacterized. NCBI's taxonomy places the organism in Eukaryota, Viridiplantae, Streptophyta, Magnoliopsida, Cornales, Cornaceae. The transcript has 2 exons. The record is from RefSeq and is a predicted model, not a curated record.